RNAcentral lists this ribosomal RNA (774 nucleotides) under uncultured bacterium. RNAcentral's name for it is "bacterial SSU rRNA". It matches the Rfam family "Bacterial small subunit ribosomal RNA", at positions 609 to 1384 of the family's 1533-position model. The record is from RNAcentral.
UCAACCUGGGAACUGCGUUCUGAACUGGGUGACUAGAGUGUGUCAGAGGGAGGUAGANUUCCACGUGUAGCAGUGAAAUGCGUAGAGAUGUGGAGGAAUNCCGAUGGCGAAGGCAGCCUCCUGGGAUAACACUGACGUUCAUGCCCGAAAGCGUGGGUAGCAAACAGGAUUAGAUACCNUGGUAGUCCACGCCCUAAACGAUGUCGAUUAGCUGUUGGGCAGCAUGACUGCUUAGUAGCGAAGCUAACGCGUGAAAUCGACCGCCUGGGGAGUACGGUCGCAAGAUUAAAACUCAAAGGAAUUGACGGGGACCCGCACAAGCGGUGGAUGAUGUGGAUUAAUUCGAUGCAACGCGAAGAACCUUACCUGGUCUUGACAUGUACGGAAUCCUCCAGAGACGGAGGAGUGCCUUCGGGAGCCGUAACACAGGUGCUGCAUGGCUGUCGUCAGCUCGUGUCGUGAGAUGUUGGGUUAAGUCCCGCAACGAGCGCAACCCUUGUCAUUAGUUGCCAUCAUUAAGUUGGGCACUNUAAUGAGACUGCCGGUGACAAGCCGGAGGAAGGUGGGGAUGACGUCAAGUCCUCAUGGCCCUUAUGACCAGGGCUUCACACGUCAUACAAUGGUCGGUACAGAGGGUAGCCAAGCCGCGAGGCGGAGCCAAUCUCACAAAACUGAUNGUAGUCCGGAUUGCACUCUGCAACUCGAGUGCAUGAAGUCGGAAUCGNUAGUAAUCGCAGGUCAGCAUANUGCGGUGAAUACGUUCCCGGGUCUNGU